CGUGUGCUUACAAGUAGUCAGAGCCCGUUAAUGGGUGAUGGCGUGCCUUUUGUAGAAUGAACCGGCGAGUUACGAUUUGAUGCAAGGUUAAGCAGUAAAUGUGGAGCCGUAGCGAAAGCGAGUCUGAAUAGGGCGUUUAGUAUUUGGUCGUAGACCCGAAACCAGGUGAUCUACCCUUGGUCAGGUUGAAGUUCAGGUAACACUGAAUGGAGGACCGAACCGACUUACGUUGAAAAGUGAGCGGAUGAACUGAGGGUAGCGGAGAAAUUCCAAUCGAACCUGGAGAUAGCUGGUUCUCUCCGAAAUAGCUUUAGGGCUAGCCUCAAGUGAUGAUUAUUGGAGGUAGAGCACUGUUUGGACGAGGGGCCCCUCUCGGGUUACCGAAUUCAGACAAACUCCGAAUGCCAAUUAAUUUAACUUGGGAGUCAGAACAUGGGUGAUAAGGUCCGUGUUCGAAAGGGAAACAGCCCAGACCACCAGCUAAGGUCCCAAAAUAUAUGUUAAGUGGAAAAGGAUGUGGCGUUGCCCAGACAACUAGGAUGUUGGCUUAGAAGCAGCCAUCAUUUAAAGAGUGCGUAAUAGCUCACUAGUCGAGUGACACUGCGCCGAAAAUGUACCGGGGCUAAACAUAUUACCGAAGCUGUGGAUUGUCCUUUGGACAAUGGUAGGAGAGCGUUCUAAGGGCGUUGAAGCAUGAUCGUAAGGACAUGUGGAGCGCUUAGAAGUGAGAAUGCCGGUGUGAGUAGCGAAAGACGGGUGAGAAUCCCGUCCACCGAUUGACUAAGGUUUCCAGAGGAAGGCUCGUCCGC
This 809-nucleotide ribosomal RNA is filed under the name Staphylococcus aureus. RNAcentral describes it as "partial 23S ribosomal RNA". It matches the Rfam family "Bacterial large subunit ribosomal RNA", at positions 557 to 1373 of the family's 2925-position model. Lineage: Bacteria; Bacillati; Bacillota; Bacilli; Caryophanales; Staphylococcaceae. The record is from RNAcentral.